This 767-nucleotide ribosomal RNA is filed under the name uncultured Lactobacillus sp. Its description in RNAcentral is "bacterial SSU rRNA". It matches the Rfam family "Bacterial small subunit ribosomal RNA", at positions 729 to 1502 of the family's 1533-position model. Lineage: Bacteria; Bacillati; Bacillota; Bacilli; Lactobacillales; Lactobacillaceae. The record is from RNAcentral.
CUGGUCUGUAACUGACGCUGAGGCUCGAAAGUAUGAGUAGCAAACAGGAUUAGAUCCUGGUAGUCCAUACCGUAAACGAUGAAUGCUAAGUGUUGGAGGUUUCCCCUUCAGUGCUGCAGCUAACGCAUUAAGCAUUCCGCUGGGGAGUACGGCCGCAAGGCUGAAACUCAAAGGAAUUGACGGGGGCCCGCACAAGCGGUGGAGCAUGUGGUUUAAUUCGAAGCUACGCGAAGAACCUUACCAGGUCUUGACAUACUAUGCAAAUCUAAGAGAUUAGACGUUCCCUUCGGGGACAUGGAUACAGGUGGUGCAUGGUUGUCGUCAGCUCGUGUCGUGAGAUGUUGGGUUAAGUCCCGCAACGAGCGCAACCCUUAUUAUCAGUUGCCAGCAUUAAGUUGGGCACUCUGGUGAGACUGCCGGUGACAAACCGGAGGAAGGUGGGGAUGACGUCAAAUCAUCAUGCCCCUUAUGACCUGGGCUACACACGUGCUACAAUGGAUGGUACAACGAGUUGCGAACUCGCGAGAGUAAGCUAAUCUCUUAAAGCCAUUCUCAGUUCGGAUUGUAGGCUGCAACUCGCCUACAUGAAGUCGGAAUCGCUAGUAAUCGCGGAUCAGCAUGCCGCGGUGAAUACGUUCCCGGGCCUUGUACACACCGCCCGUCACACCAUGAGAGUUUGUAACACCCAAAGUCGGUGGGGUAACCUUUAGGAACCAGCCGCCUAAGGUGGGACAGAUGAUUAGGGUGAAGUCGUAACAAGGUAACCA